UCGCCUUAAACUAAUGAGUAAGGAAAACAAAGCGGGCGGUGAGAGCUGCCCGCCGCGCUGUUACACCUAGUGUGCGCACGAAUAUUUGGAUGGGUGAUAGGCUGGCCGAUCGUUGACGCUGCUUACUUCGCAGAACUCGCUCGUGCGGGCCUCCCA
Non-coding RNA from Musa acuminata subsp. malaccensis (wild Malaysian banana), 156 nucleotides. NCBI's taxonomy places the organism in Eukaryota, Viridiplantae, Streptophyta, Magnoliopsida, Zingiberales, Musaceae. The record is from Rfam.